AGGACGAACGCUGGCGGCGUGCUUAACACAUGCAAGUCGAGCGAGGCCCUUCCUUCGGGAAGGAGCCCUAGCGGCGAACGGGUGAGUAACACGUGGGCAACCUGCCCCUAGCACUGGGAUAACUCCGGGAAACCGGGGCUAAUACCGGAUAUGACCUUUGAGGGCAUCCUCUCUGGUGUAAAGGAUUCUGGCUAGGGAUGGGCCCGCGGCCUAUCAGCUUGUUGGUGGGGUAACGGCCUACCAAGGCGACGACGGGUAGCCGGCCUGAGAGGGCGACCGGCCACACUGGGACUGAGACACGGCCCAGACUCCUACGGGAGGCAGCAGUGGGGAAUAUUGCACAAUGGGCGAAAGCCUGAUGCAGCGACGCCGCGUGAGGGAUGACUGCCUUCGGGUUGUAAACCUCUUUCAGCAGGGACGAAGCGAAAGUGACGGUACCUGCAGAAGAGCACCGGCAACUACGCGCCAGCAGCCGC
RNAcentral lists this ribosomal RNA (476 nucleotides) under uncultured bacterium. RNAcentral's name for it is "SSU rRNA". It matches the Rfam family "Bacterial small subunit ribosomal RNA", at positions 26 to 518 of the family's 1533-position model. The record is from RNAcentral.